ACGGGACUCUUCGGAGUUCAGUGGCGGACGGGUGAGUAACGCGUGAGAAUCUGCCUUCAGGACUGGGACAACCACUGGAAACGGUGGCUAAUACCGGAUGUGCCGCAACGUAAAAGAGGAAACUCGCCUGAAGAGGAGCUCGCGUCUGAUUAGCUAGUUGGUAGGGUAAAAGCCUACCAAGGCAUCGAUCAGUAGCUGGUCUGAGAGGAUGACCAGCCACACUGGGACUGAGACACGGCCCAGACUCCUACGGGAGGCAGCAGUGGGGAAUUUUCCGCAAUGGGCGAAAGCCUGACGGAGCAAGACCGCGUGAGGGAGGAAGGCUCUUGGGUUGUAAACCUCUUUUCUCAGGGAAGAACAAAAUGACAGUACCUGAGGAAUCAGCCUCGGCUAACUCCGUGCCAGCAGCCGCGGUAAUACGGAGGAGGCAAGCGUUAUCCGGAAUUAUUGGGCGUAAAGCGUCCGCAGGUGGCACUUCAAGUCUGUCGUCAAAGACUGGGGCUUAACCCUGGAAAGGCGGUGGAAACUGAAGCGCUAGAGUGUGGUAGGGGUAGAGGGAAUUCCCGGUGUAGCGGUGAAAUGCGUAGAGAUCGGGAAGAACAUCGGUGGCGAAAGCGCUCUACUGGACCACAACUGACACUCAGGGACGAAAGCUAGGGGAGCGAAUGGGAUUAGAUACCCCAGUAGUCCUAGCCGUAAACGAUGGAUACUAG
This 713-nucleotide ribosomal RNA is filed under the name uncultured cyanobacterium. Its description in RNAcentral is "bacterial SSU rRNA". It matches the Rfam family "Bacterial small subunit ribosomal RNA", at positions 66 to 819 of the family's 1533-position model. The record is from RNAcentral. Lineage: Bacteria; Bacillati; Cyanobacteriota.